RNAcentral lists this long non-coding RNA (835 nucleotides) under Carica papaya (papaya). RNAcentral describes it as "long non-coding RNA (CPAP_LNC009966)". The record is from RNAcentral. Lineage: Eukaryota; Viridiplantae; Streptophyta; Magnoliopsida; Brassicales; Caricaceae.
AAAAUUUGAGAAUUUAAGAUGUUGUACUUUUGACCAGUGGCAGCCAAAGGAGCAAAGCAAAGAAGAAAAAGAACCCCUGCAAUUCUACAAUCAACCGAGAAGCACGGGGAUUGAAUAUCCGACCAAACCCCCAAACGCGUUUUCUCUGCUCAGUCUUAACGCACACAACAAAUAUGUCUCUCUCUUUACUCAAACUUCUUUGCACUAUAUUACAAGUUUAUGCAUAUAUAUUAUUAUUAUUAUAUAUAUGCAAUAAAGUAAUGCAUGAGUAGUGGGUAUAAACAAAGCCGAGCUUUGCCGUCUCUCCAUUUCAACCAAAACCCAAAAUCCCAGACCCGGUAAGCUCAACUACCCACUGAUGCUUUUUCUCUAGAUCUCACUUCCUUUUUCCUCUUCCUUUGUAUGUUGUCAGCUUGGUUUCUUUCCCUUUUGUCAUUCUCUUUAGGGGUGUUGAAUGAAUUAUUCAAUAUUGGUGCGCUUUGAUUUUUGGUGUUGGUUUUCUGUUUCUAUUUUUUGGUUUGAGAGACUUGGUUCUUGCUCUUGGUUCUUGACUGAUUGAUUUUGUUUGGCUGCUCACUGGCUUAGGAUCCGAGAUCAAAACCCUGUCCAACUAUGUGUUGAUCUUGUAUGAACGACUGAUUUAAUAAUUGGCUGAGAGUUGUGUUUGACUUUUUUGGAGUUUGGUUUGUGUUAAAUUCUCUGCUCCAAUCAAUUUAUUAGUUAAUACUCAUCUUCUGUAUCAUACGAUCCGGUAAGUGCCGUAGUUGGCUACUUCAAAAUCUGGUGAUUCUUAUUUCUGUCCUAUUCAUUGCCUAUGGUCUUCAGCUUUUGGNNN